RNAcentral lists this ribosomal RNA (100 nucleotides) under Nostoc sp. KVJ20. RNAcentral's name for it is "partial 16S ribosomal RNA". It matches the Rfam family "Bacterial small subunit ribosomal RNA", at positions 1 to 109 of the family's 1533-position model. Lineage: Bacteria; Bacillati; Cyanobacteriota; Cyanophyceae; Nostocales; Nostocaceae. The record is from RNAcentral.
AAAACGGAGAGUUUGAUCCUGGCUCAGGAUGAACGCUGGCGGUAUGCUUAACACAUGCAAGUCGAACGAAAUCUUUCGGGAUUUAGUGGCGGACGGGUGA